AAAAUAAUUGACCUUAAAUCUAUCCCUUGGUAACCGCUUUUGAGCUUAAUAAUUUCUUUGAAAUUUACUUAAACUUUGCCUAGUUUUGAGCCAAACCGAUCAAAUGAACUUAGGGCAAAAAGAAGGGGACGAUAAAGUAGUGAAUCUUUAUGGACAGGACCUGAGCAUAAAAUGUAAAAAUAUGAUAUCUAUGUCCACAAAAAAAAAGUCCAGAAAGAAAAGAAAAAAUAAAGGACAAGAAUAAAAGAAGAAAAAGAAAAAGAUUUAAUGCCCUAGGGGUGAAUGUGCUUAGGUCCGAAAGAUGGGCAAGGAUCAUACAAAUUUGGAUAACACUAUGCCGAGAAUGAAGUUCAUGCGACCUCAGCCUCAUUCCAAAUUUUCACACCUUAUGUCUUAAGUGUACAUCAUAACCCUAAAAAGAC
This 422-nucleotide long non-coding RNA is filed under the name Salvia miltiorrhiza (redroot sage). RNAcentral's name for it is "long non-coding RNA (SMIL_LNC009311)". The record is from RNAcentral. Lineage: Eukaryota; Viridiplantae; Streptophyta; Magnoliopsida; Lamiales; Lamiaceae.